CUGCGUGAAGUUGGAAUUGCUAGUAAUCGCGGAUCAGCAUGCCGCGGUGAAUACGUUCCCGGGCCUUGUACACACCGCCCGUCACACCAUGGGAGCCGGUAAUACCCGAAGUCAGUAGUCUAACCGCAAGGGGGGCGCUGCCGAAGGUAGGAUUGGCGGCUGGGGUGAAGUCGUAACAAGGUAGC
Molecule: ribosomal RNA, 185 nt
Filed under: uncultured bacterium
Lineage: Bacteria
Description: partial 16S ribosomal RNA
Rfam family: Bacterial small subunit ribosomal RNA
Source: RNAcentral